RNAcentral lists this ribosomal RNA (253 nucleotides) under uncultured bacterium. RNAcentral's name for it is "partial 16S ribosomal RNA". It matches the Rfam family "Bacterial small subunit ribosomal RNA", at positions 524 to 776 of the family's 1533-position model. The record is from RNAcentral.
GACGAACCGUACGAACGUUAUUCGGAAUCACUGGGCUUAAAGGGUGCGUAGGCUGCGCAGCAAGUUGGGUGUGAAAUCCCUCGGCUUAACCGAGGAACUGCGCCCAAAACUGCUGUGCUCGAGGGAGACAGAGGUGAGCGGAACUUAGGGUGGAGCGGUGAAAUGCGUUGAUAUGUGGAGGAACACCGAUGGCGAAGGCAGCCCCCUGGGUUAACACUGACGCUCAUGCACGAAAGCGUGGGGAGCAAACAGG